GACGAACGCUGGCGGCGUGCUUAACACAUGCAAGUCGAACGGAAGGGCCCUGCUUUUGUGGGGUGCUCGAGUGGCGAACGGGUGAGUAACACGUGAGUAACCUGCCCUUGACUUUGGGAUAACUUCAGGAAACUGGGGCUAAUACCGGAUAGGAGCUCCUGCUGCAUGGUGGGGGUUGGAAAGUUUCGGCGGUUGGGGAUGGACUCGCGGCUUAUCAGCUUGUUGGUGGGGUAGUGGCUUACCAAGGCUUUGACGGGUAGCCGGCCUGAGAGGGUGACCGGCCACAUUGGGACUGAGAUACGGCCCAGACUCCUAAGGGAGGCAGCAGUGGGGAAUAUUGCACAAUGGGCGGAAGCCUGAUGCAGCAACGCCGCGUGCGGGAUGACGGCCUUCGGGUUGUAAACCGCUUUCGCCUGUGACGAAGCGUGAGUGACGGUAAUGGGUAAAGAAGCACCGGCUAACUACGUG
Molecule: ribosomal RNA, 468 nt
Filed under: uncultured bacterium
Lineage: Bacteria
Description: partial 16S ribosomal RNA
Rfam family: Bacterial small subunit ribosomal RNA
Source: RNAcentral